AAUACUUAGUUAGACAAUACUUUUGUGAUAUUUGUUAUCAUAUUUGAUAUUUGAUGUAUCCUGAUUCAGUGCGACACAAGUUCAAGUUAGUUAAAGUCUUUGGUUCACUCCACAUAUUUAGACUUACUCAUAGUCAAUCCCACUGCAGGAAGAUUUCUAGUUCAGCAAGUGAAAGCGUGUCUCCAAACAAGGCCAUUAUCGACACAGAUAAAAGUUGACAAUUGACAAUGAUUUUCCUUAUAUUUUAUUAUAAACUCCUGUUUCCAUGGGCAAAGACAAAUCACAUUUGAAGCUUUUCAAUAAAAGCCUUAACAGGAGUUAUGGAUCCAGGAUCUAUAACACCCGGUAGAUAUUUUAAAAAUAUUUCCAUAAAGUAGAUAGUAUAUUUUUUCUUUAUUUUUCUCACCUAUAUAAAUCAUUAUUCUCGUUGUUGGACCGCCCUCCCGCUCACUGACUACACUCUCCUGAGCCCAUCCCACCAACAUGUCUGGACGACACUCGGCAGGCAAAUGUUUCCCCGUCGCCACUGUUAUCUAACGCAAUGCUAACGGGAAGCUAACGCUCAGUGAUGUCUCACCUCGUCAACGGUCCGCCUAGGAAGGUGCAGCAUCCCGAGCAGCAGUUUGAGCUUCACUGGCGGUGAAAGGCUGGAAAAGCAUAACCGUAUGUUGUCGAUAACCGACACUGUAAGAAGGGAGGCGAUGCUCGGCGGCGUCCAGAGCUCGUCAGUGGAGCCCAGCUUGUUGUGAAGCCACAGGCCGGUGUCGCUGUCCUUCAUCGACGCCAUCUUGGAAAAAGAAGUGUUUUGAGUUCGGGCAUUUUAACAGGCUACCUAAGAAAACAGCAGCAAGGACCCCGCCCACCUUGUGUUUGUUGUGUGAAGGAAAAAUCAAAGAAGCUGGAUCUCACAUAUAACUAAAUAUUAAUAUAAAUAUUAAUGUAUAUGUCAAAUAGUGACUCCAUGCAAAAGAUACAGCUACUUGUAUCUUUUGCAUGUUUUUGAACUCUGCCUUUUAAAUCGAAUAAAUAAUUGCAAUACUCAAA
This is a long non-coding RNA of Cynoglossus semilaevis (tongue sole), 1044 nucleotides long. RefSeq lists it as uncharacterized. Lineage: Eukaryota; Metazoa; Chordata; Actinopteri; Pleuronectiformes; Cynoglossidae. The record is from RefSeq and is a predicted model, not a curated record. The transcript has 2 exons.